Non-coding RNA from Podarcis lilfordi (Lilford's wall lizard), 156 nucleotides. The record is from the annotation of a GenBank genome assembly. Lineage: Eukaryota; Metazoa; Chordata; Lepidosauria; Squamata; Lacertidae.
CUUCCAGUAGCACCUUAGAGACCAACUAAGUUUGUUAUUGGUAUGAGCUUCCGUGUGCAUGCCCACUUCUUCAGAUUGGUCUUCAGAAGAAGUGUGCAUGCACACGAAAGCUCAUACCAAUAACAAACUUAGUUGUCUCUAAGGUGCUACUGGAAG